AGCUCUCCAAUACCGGUGCCGGCUUCGAAAUAAAGUGUUAUUGGAUGUAACUUAAAUGAGAAAUCAAGCUCCAGGAAGAGCUUAAUCUUGUUUUCAUAGAGCCAAGAGAAAAUCCUACCUGAAUUCUGGAUUGGUAACUUUAGAUAGUUUCUUUUUCCAUUUCCCACUGUAUAUACCACCUUGUACUGCACUUUUUAUUAAUAUAUUGCAGUAGGCAUUUUGCCUACUGUAGGUUCCUCAAAAAAGGAAAAUCAACCUUCCAACUGGGAGCAUCAAAAUCUUUGCCCUUUUCCUUACUUCCCUACUUCUGGAUAUCUCUAAUCGGCCAGUUUGCUUGCAGCCAGCUAAAAAAGUUCAGAAAUCCUAGUUGCUAGUCAUAUCAGAAGAGCAUGAAACAAAAUAAAAUGCGCUAGACAUUCCUGAUUAGUGCCACAACAUCCAUGCUUCGCAACAGCUAUACUUGCUACUGAAAGUUUUUUUUAGAAAAAAACCCCUCUUUGUACUGACAGUGGACCGAAAAUUUAUUCACAUUAGUACAAGACAAGCUAACCUAUGAUGACUAAGAAAUUGCAUACAUAUAAAACAAUGGCAGAUACAGAAAUGCAUAUCUAUAUGACGGAAAUAAUCGAAUAUACUAACUUGAUAGCCACCUCCUCGCCGCUCUGUAUUUUCAUGCCUGCAACCAAUUUAAUUGACCUUAUCAUAAAUAACUGAAACCGGACAGGCAACACACCAGCUGGAGCAAUGCGCAGCAUGAACUCAGAAAAAAUAGCCUCACCUUGCAGAUAAAACAGGAGAACCUGACGGGAGAUAGCCACUUGAGCCUGCCUGAACAGAACAAAGAGAACAGUUUCCUUAACUGAAACCCUUACUUGGGAAGGGAAGUAAUAAGAGAUCUCGGUAGUGAAAUGAUAGGAAAUAUGCAAAAAUUGCUAGGUUUUGGCCCUACUGAGGAGCGAAAAUUCAGAAAAGAAAGGAAAUAUUCCAUGCAUAAAAGCCUAUCAUCAAAGUUGGGCCAUAUUCCAAUAAGAAAAUAAAGGGAGGUGAUUCAAAACAAGGGAAAGUAGUGAUUGAACUAUAUUGGAAUCCAAUCAGAACUCAGGAAUUGUGGGAAGGCCAAGGAAUCUAUAUGGAUAUCUAGAUUCAAUAAAUUCUCUAUUCCAACCAGAAAAAAAGAACAAUAACAAGGAGACAAUCCUACUCCACUUGAAUUCCAGAAGAUACUGUACAUUUUAACGAAUGCAACGCAAGCAAGGGAAAGCAAAACAAAAAAAAUAAUAUCAAUCGAUCAUACUCCAAGCAUCAACAGCCUUUAGUGCUUCCAGAAAAUCCGUAAAAAGAGCAUCAACAGGUUUACCAAAGGCGUG
This 1367-nucleotide long non-coding RNA is filed under the name Brachypodium distachyon (stiff brome). Its description in RNAcentral is "long non-coding RNA (BDIS_LNC005521)". Lineage: Eukaryota; Viridiplantae; Streptophyta; Magnoliopsida; Poales; Poaceae. The record is from RNAcentral.